RNAcentral lists this non-coding RNA (26 nucleotides) under Mus musculus (house mouse). Lineage: Eukaryota; Metazoa; Chordata; Mammalia; Rodentia; Muridae. The record is from RNAcentral.
UACAUGAUAACCACCAGUUGAGCCAG